GACGAACGCUGGCGGCGUGCUUAACACAUGCCAGUCGAACGGAAAGGCCCUGCUUUUGUGGGGUGCUCGAGUGGCGAACGGGUGAGUAACACGUGAGUAACCUGCCCUUGACGUUGGGAUAACUUCAGGAAACUGGGGCUAAUACCGGAUAGGAGCUCCUGCUGCAUGGUGGGGGUUGGAAAGUUUCGGCGGUUGGGGAUGGACUCGCGGCUUAUCAGCUUGUUGGUGGGGUAGUGGCUUACCAAGGCUUUGACGGGUAGCCGGCCUGAGAGGGUGACCGGCCACAUUGGGACUGAGAUACGGCCCAGACUCCUACGGGAGGCAGCAGUGGGGAAUAUUGCACAAUGGGCGGAAGCCUGAUGCAGCAACGCCGCGUGCGGGAUGACGGCCUUGGGGUUGUAAACCGCUUUCGCCUGUGACGAAGCGUGAGUGACGGUAAUGGGUAAAGAAGCACCGGCUAACUACGUG
RNAcentral lists this ribosomal RNA (468 nucleotides) under uncultured bacterium. RNAcentral's name for it is "partial 16S ribosomal RNA". It matches the Rfam family "Bacterial small subunit ribosomal RNA", at positions 28 to 507 of the family's 1533-position model. The record is from RNAcentral.